Molecule: long non-coding RNA, 322 nt
Filed under: Salmo salar (Atlantic salmon)
Lineage: Eukaryota; Metazoa; Chordata; Actinopteri; Salmoniformes; Salmonidae
Description: lncRNA (ENSSSAG00000082618.1)
Source: RNAcentral
GGAAUCCACUCAUUCCGCUCCAGCCAUUACCAUGAGCCCGUCCUCCCCAAUUAAGGUGCCACCAACAGAACAGCGGUCUCAAACCCUAUUUCUGGAGAGCUACCCUCCUGAGUGCUGAGUUUGGUCUCGUGUGGGCCGGUCAGAGAAUACGACAACGACGACACCGCAGUCGAGCCACAAUCCCAAUCCUCCGAGCCCACUCGGCAGCAUACAUCAAAGUCCUGUUUCAUUUAAACCCUAUUUCAUGCAUUCAUUUCAUGGUGGUGCUCUUGUCAAAGCGCGGGUUUCGGGGAUGAACGUAACCCAGGUUUAUAAGGCUUAG